AACUUAGAAGAACCUCUUCUAAGAGGUUGUGAGAGUGGUGCAUCCUUAUCCCGUGUUUUUAUCAGGAAGGGUUUCAGUUUUCCACUUUGAAGGGUUUGUCGUAAAUGGCUUUUGUUAUGUUGAGAUAUGUUCUCCUUAUACCCAUUUUUUAAGGGUUUUUUUUUAUCAUGAAUGGAUAUUGAAUUUUAUCAAAUGCUUUUUUUUCAUGUAUUAAGAUAAUCAGUUUUUGUCUUUUAUUUAUGUGGUGUAUUACAUUGAUUAAUUUGCAUAUGUUGAACCAUCCUUGUAAACCUGGUAUGACUCCAGCUUGGUCAUGUGUGUGUUAGAUUCAGUUUGCUUAUAUUUUGUCCAGAAUAUUUUUGUAACAAUUUCAUUGAUGUCUUUAAUUUUCUUUUGUGGUGACCGUGGUUUUGGUAUCAGGGUGAUUGAUGUUUCUGUGGUUUUUUGUUUUCUUUUUUGUUUUGUUUUGUUUUGUUUUGUUUUUGUUUUUGUUUUUUUUUUCUUGCAUUGUCAAUUGAGAUUUUGUAUUUUGUUUAUUUGGGUUCUCUCUCAUUUCUUUCAUGAGCCUACCAGAGGUUUGUCAUUUUGUUUACCAUUUCAAAAUCCAAGAAUCUUGGUUAUUUUCAUUUGUUUUUGACUGUUUUAUUUCCUCUGAUCAUUAUUACCUCCUUCCUUUUGCAAAAUUUAGGUUUUGUUCUUUUUCUAAUUGUUUUAGAUGGUGGGUUAGAUUGUUUAAGAUUUUUUUCUUGUUUCGUAAAGAAGGUUUGUAUUGCUGUGAACUUCAAAGAACUGCCUUUGCUGCAUGCCAUAGAUUUUGAAUGACUUGUGUUUUCAUUCGUCUCAUAGUAUUUUUAAAUUUCCUCUUUGAUUUCCUCAUUGACUUAAUGGUUUUUUUAGUAGUAUGGUAUUUAGUUUCCAUGUAUUUUUUUUCUCUCAUCUUUUUUUGUGGUUGAUUUCUAAAUUUCAUGCUGAUUGGGUCAGAGAAGAUGGUUGAAAUAAAUGCCAUACUCUUUAAUAUGUUGAGGCUUAUUUUAAUGCCUUAGUAUGUGUUCAGUCCUAGAGAACAUUCCAGAUGCACUUGAAAAUAAUUUUUUGGGUGUAAUGACCUAAAAGUGUCUGUUAACUAACUGCUCUCUUGUUAUCAUUUAGGAUCUCCAUGGCCUCAUGGUUUUCUGUGUAGAUCUGUGCAUUGACGUUUCUACUGUUAGUAUAUUCCCAUCAUUUUCUCCCUUUAUGUCUGUUAGUGUCUGUUUCAAGCAUGUUGGUUGCUCAUAUGUUAAGUGUAUAUAUGGUAAUGAGUGUAAUAUCCUCUUAAAUUGAUCCCUUUAUCAUUAAAUAGUGUUUCUCUUUCUUUAUGGCCUUUGUUUUAAAGUCUGUUUUGUGUAGUAUGAGUACUUUGACUUUCUUGACAUUUCCAUUUGCAUGAAAUAUCGUUUUUUCAUCCUCUCAUUUUCAGUCUCUGUGUGUCCCUUCAACCUAAAAUGGGAUACUAUAGGUUCUUGGCUCUUGUUUCUUUUUUCUUUUCUUUUCUUUUCUUUUGGUCUUUUCAGGGCCACAGCCAUGGCACAUGAAGGUUCCCAGGCUGGGAGUCAAAUCAGAGAUACAGCUGCCUACCUACACCACAGCCACAGCAAUGCGGGAUCCAAAUUGUGUCUGUGGUCUUCACCACAGCUCAUGGUGAAGCCAGAUCCUUAACCCACUGAGCAAGGCUAGGGAUCGAACCUAUGUCAUCAUGGAUACUAGUCCAGUUCCUUAACUGCUAAGCCACAACGGGGACUCUUCUUGUUUGUUUUAUCCAGUCUGUCUUUUGAUUGGAACAUUCAGUCCAUUGACAUUUAAGGUAAUUUUGAAUAGAAAUGUAUUUAUUGCCACUUUAAAUCUUGUUUUAUUUAUUUAUUUAUUUAUUUAUUUAUUUUUGCCUUUUCUAGGACUUCUCCCACGGCAUAUGGAGUUCCCAGGCUAGGGAUCUAAUCAGAGCUGUGGCCACCAGCCUACACCACAGACACAGCAACACAGGAUCGGAGCUGUGUCUGCAACCUACACCACAGCUCACGGCAAUGCCAGAUCCCUAACCCACUGAGCAAGGCUAGGGAUCGAACCCGCAACUUCAUGGUUCCUAGCCAGAUUCGUUAACCACUGAGCCAUGACGGGAACUCCUUGUUUAAAUUUUUGAUAUCAUAUUUCUUCUUUAUUUUUUCUUUGCUUUUCUUUUUAUGGUUUGAUUAUUUUCUUUUGUAUUGUUUGUGACUUUAUUUUAUUUUUUAUUUUAUUUUAUUUUUUGUCUUUUUAGGGCCACUCCCAUGGCAUAUGAAAAUUCUCAGGCUAGGGCUCAAAUUAAAGCUGUAGCUGCCAGCCUACACCACAGCCACAGCAACACAUCUUUAUUUUUUGUAAAUCUGUUGUAUGUUUCUGAUUUACUGUAGUUACUGUCUUUUUCAAGAACAUUAAACCUUUCCUAAAACUCCUUGUCUUAUUGUGGUAGUCAUGUAGGCUCAAAUGCAUUCUGGGGGAAGGAAAAUAAAAUUCUACAUUCUUAUACUCUCCCCUUCAAUAUUAUAAAUUUUGAUGUUCUCAUUUACAUCUUUAUGUUCAUCCUUUUGCUGUUGUUAUCAUUGCUUUCACAGAACUUUUUUUUUUUUUUUUAAUUGUGUAGUGGCUUAUUUAAGUGAUCUACUCUCACACGUUGAUUUUCUUUUUCCUUUGGACUUCUGCUUCCUUUAUAUUUAGGGAAGACCUUUGAAUAUUUCCUUUAGGAUAGGUUUAGUUUUGCUGUAUUUCUUUACUUUGAGAAAUUCUUUAUCUCUCCUUCUAUUCUAAAGGAUAAUCUUUCUGGCUAAAUGGGUAGUGUAUCCUCAGUUGGAAGUUUUUAUCUUCCAGGACUUUCACUGUAUCUUUCCACUCCCUUGUAGUCUGAUGUUUCUGUAGAGAAAAAAAGCUGAUAGCUUUAUGGUAGCCUUGAGAUUAACUUCUGUUUUUCUCUUGCUGCCUUUAGAAUCCUGUCUUUAACUUCACCAUUUUAAUUACAGUAUGUCCUGGUGUGGGUCUAUUUGGGUUCCUUUCAUUUUGAACCCUCUGUACUUCCUGUGUCUGGUUACCUCUUUCCUUCUUUAGAUUUGGGAAGUUUUCCAUAAUUUUGAAAUAAAUCUUUUGACCCCCUUUUUUUCUUUUUUCUCAUUCUGGGUCCCUUUUAUUGUCAUGCUUUACACACAUACACACACACACACACACACACACACACACACACCCCUUCCAUUUGGCUUCCCUUUUAUUGUCAUGCUUUACACACACACACACACACACACACACACCCCUUCCAUUUGGCUUUCUGUCUGCUGUCAUGAUUGGGUGAUUUCUAUUACUCUGUCUUCCAGAUCACUUACGCAUUCCUCUGCUGUUCAUUGCUUGCUUUCGGAUGAGCUUUCAUUCUUUAUGAAUUAGUUUUCUAAUUUUUCAUGGCGCCAUUUAUAUUUUCUAGUCCCUUUUUACAGCAAUCUGCAUUUCUAUCAAUAGCUAUUCUUAAUUCCUUCAGUAAUUUCAUUAUCUUCUUUUUGAACUUUGGUCUGUUUUUUUGUUCUUUCACAGGACUUCUCUUGAUCUUGUAAUUGGAUGUGAUCCUGCCACUUCUUUGUUUUACUAUUACUCUAUGAGUUUAGGAGAAACAGUUACUCAUUGUGACCUUGAAGGGCUUUUUGUAUUUGGAAACAUCCCUGUGUAACCUGUGUGGAUUUGAUAUUUUUGGUGCAGGAACUGUUUUAGUUUGAACACCUGCUUCUUUCCUCUAUGUGUGCUGCCCAUUAUGCCCUUGAUUAGAGGAUGUGGCUGCUGUUGUGGUGACCAGAAAGCCCACACUGGUUUUUGAGCAGGGCCUCUUGCUCUCUGGUGGUCACCACCCUAUCAGGGGACAGGGCCUGCUCCCUAGCUGUUUGAGUAGAAGCCCCCAGAUGUGUUUCUGAGCUGUGGUGUUAUGUAGAUUUAACUAGGUUGCUGCCAUUGGGAGGCAAUCCACUCAUUAUUCUGGGGAAUGCACUCUAUACUGUCACCUAAAACCUGUUAUGUGGGGUCAUGAAGUACACUAUUGUUGGCACUGCCAUUGAACACCUCCACUGUGGGAAUGUAGGCAGUCAACCCUGGUAUUCCUCAGGUACUGUGUUCACAAUACCACCAAAGCAGAUAUACCAGCUCAAACUGACUGGUCAGGUACAAGAACUGUAGUAGUCACACACCUGGAUUUACCAUGGGAGCUAUGAAAACAGCCCAGAUGCCAGCUCACUCUCCAGGUGCACAUGUCUCAAGGCCCACAGCUUCUAUGGAUGGAUCUGUCCCCAGCCACUGGAGCACCUAUUGUCCCUUUCGCAGAGGCUGUAGAGGCAGUGCCAAGAAAGGCUGCUGUGGAAGGCCCUUCCCCUUCCUUUUCCCACACUUUAGCAAAGAAGCUUUGCUUGUAUGGCAGCACUGGUUGAAGCCUGUACCACACUCCAGCCUCUUAGACUGUUUUCACAUAGCUAACCCCAGUUCUCUGCUAGGAUCUGUCCUCUCAAAGCCUCAAUUUUAGCACCAAGACCCCAUAUAUACCAAAAGGCACCAUCUUGGGCAGGAGAGCACAGUGAGGUAGCAGUGAUCUUCUUCACUGGUCUCUUCUGCCUGCCAUAUGUGUGCACUCUGAGUCUCAGACCCCAUUUCUGUCCCAGCUGUUCUGCCCCACUAAUAAGGGGACUUCCCAGGGUGUGGGACCAUUUCCCUUUUCACAGUUCCUUUCCAGGAGUGCAGGUCCUAUCCCACUUCUUUUUUGUUUUUUUCCCUUGUUCCACUUGGUUAUGUGGCAAUCUUUCUUGCUUGGGUUUCUGUGGUCUUCUCCUAGUUAAGUGUUCUGUGAGAAGCAUCCCACAUGUAAUGUGUUUUUGAUGUAUUUGUGGAAAGAAGUGAGCUUUGCAUCCUUCUAUUCCACCAUCUUGUUACUUGAUUAUGAUCAUCCUGAUAAUCUUUUAUAGUUUAAUGAAGGAAUUUUCCUAUGAUGCUGUAUUCUAUUUUAAGUUUUCUACUUUUCGUGACUUGUUUUCUUUUUGGUAGAAAUAAUGAGUCCUUAAUCUGGUAACACCAACAUAUAUGGUUUUCUUUUAACAUCUAUUUUAUUAUUGUAUCAUAAACCAUGUUUUGCUAUCUAAUUCAAUAACGCAGGCAUGCACAUGUCCUCAUCAUGCCUUAUAUUCAACGUCCACUUUUCUUUUUGUGAUGAAUAAACAUACUGCAGUAAUAAAUAAUUUAAAAGCAAACUGAAGCAUAUAGCAAUACAUAUGGCACUCAAAACACUAAUAACUGCCUUACUUCACAGCUUUGCAAAGGUACAGAGCAUCAUACACUAAAAUAACCACUCAGCUCUCCACAUGAAAAAGAAUGCAUAUGUCUGGAUUCCAGUGUAAUUUCAUCAUGUUUUCAUAUUACACAAAAGAUUUUCUCCCAACCACUUAAAAAUGGAAAAACAGGAGUUCUUGCUGUGACACAGGGUUAAUGAUCCAGCUUGUCCCUGGAGACACUCAUUCAAUUCCUGGCCCAAUACAGUGGGUUAUGGAUAUAACAUUGCUAUGGCUGUGGCAUGGGUUGCAGCUCUAGCUCACAUUUGACCCUUGCCCUGGGAACUUCCACAUGCUGCCAGUACAGGCAAAAAAGAAAACGUUAAAAACAGCUAACCUAGAGUUCCCAUCAUGGUGCAGUGGAAGUGAAACUGACUAGGAACCAUGAGGUUGUGGGUUUGAUCCCUGGCCUUGCUCAGUGGUUAGGGUAUUGCUGUGAGCUGUGGUGUAGUUCAUAGAUGUGACUCAGAUCUGGCGUUGCUGUAGCAUUGGCUGGUGACUACAGCUCCCAUUAGACCCCUAGCCUCGGAACCUCCAUAUGCCACAAUUGUGGGCCUAAAAAAGCAAAAAGUCCAAAAAAAACAAACCCAAAAAACAAAAACAGCGGAGUGGCUUUGGCCUUUGUCUGUUGGUCCCCUGGUCUGCUCUAACAAUAAUUAAAUCUAGCUGAACUUUUCUCAAAGGACUAAAUUCCCACUUUCUGCUUUGUGCUAUAUUGUCUUUUAGUGUCUUUUAUUAGGACCACUGGGCUAUUUUGGGUUUGAGAGUUUUGUAUUGGAACUUGGUCCUUCAUCUUUUUUUAUUAAUCAUACAUUUUUCUGUGCAUCUUUUUUAGAUGGUUAUUAUUACUUGCAAUUGAAAUAUAUAUUUUCCUUGCUGUUAGUAGUUGCUUCUCAAUUUUUCCCAUUCUCUAAAAAUGUCUGUCUUUUUAGCUUGUGUUUUAAACUGUGCCUUCUAUUUAUCCAUAUAUAGUAAAAGCUUAAAUCUGCCUCUGCAUUGUCUUCCAGUUUCUACAACUCUUUUUUCUCCAUCAUAACUUUGAUCAUGCUGUUUAUCCUCUUCUACUCAUGUCCUCUAUCCCAGCCCUGACCAUUCUGUUUCUUAUAUCACUUCCAAGAACACACUGUUACGUAAAUGAACCAAAAAUGUUCUUUGUGCUUUGACCCCUACUUUGUUUCUCCACUACAGUAGCUCAAAACCCUGCUCUAACAAUAAUUUGGCACCUGAGUCAAACUUAUAUACAUCUAGUUAGCUUUUAGAUUUAGCCAUAUAAAUUGUUCUGAUUUGCAGAUACUGCAAUACUGCAUUUGCUGGGUGGUAAAAAUAGAAAACUUGUGGUUAAAAAGUUCCUGGGCCGCGACUGACUUUUGAAACUUCCUGACCGAGAGAAUACCUGCAGAAUUGUGAACAAAAUCAUCUAAGCGUGGCUCCUUUGGAAUUAUAUCAGUCAGCAUUUAGAUGGUGGCUUCUGAGCCCUAAUUCUCAUGGUAUGAAGGUUGCUUAUUCUCAUCAAAUUGUAAGUGCCACCUAUUAAAGAGUGUAUUAC
This 6894-nucleotide long non-coding RNA is filed under the name Sus scrofa (pig). RNAcentral describes it as "lncRNA (ENSSSCG00000049587.1)". The record is from RNAcentral. Lineage: Eukaryota; Metazoa; Chordata; Mammalia; Artiodactyla; Suidae.